AAUACGACUCUCGGCAACGGAUAUCUCGGCUCUCGCAUCGAU
Molecule: ribosomal RNA, 42 nt
Filed under: Neuburgia celebica
Lineage: Eukaryota; Viridiplantae; Streptophyta; Magnoliopsida; Gentianales; Loganiaceae
Description: partial 5.8S ribosomal RNA
Source: RNAcentral